RNAcentral lists this ribosomal RNA (504 nucleotides) under uncultured bacterium. RNAcentral's name for it is "bacterial SSU rRNA". It matches the Rfam family "Bacterial small subunit ribosomal RNA", at positions 94 to 630 of the family's 1533-position model. The record is from RNAcentral.
AGUGGCGACCGGGUGAGUAACACGUGACUAACCUACCUUCGAGUGGGGGAUAACCUCGGGAAACCGGGGCUAAUACCGCAUAAUGCCUUCGGGUUAAAGGAGCAAUUCGCUUGAAGAGGGGGUCGCGGCUGAUUAGCUAGUUGGCGGGGUAAUGGCCCACCAAGGCGAUGAUCGGUAGCCGGCCUGAGAGGGCGCACGGCCACACUGGAACUGAAACACGGUCCAGACUCCUACGGGAGGCAGCAGUGGGGAAUUUUGCGCAAUGGGGGAAACCCUGACGCAGCAACGCCGCGUGGAGGAUGAAGUCCCUUGGGACGUAAACUCCUUUCGACCGGGACGAUAAUGACGGUACCGGUGGAAGAAGCCCCGGCUAACUUCGUGCCAGCAGCCGCGGUAAUACGAGGGGGGCAAGCGUUGUUCGGAAUUAUUGGGCGUAAAGGGCGCGUAGGCGGUGCGGUAAGUCACCUGUGAAACCUCUGGGCUCAACCCAGAGCCUGCAGGCGA